GGUCAUGCCUGCCCAGUGAAAAUCAUUUUUUAACGGCCGCGGUAUUCUAACCGUGCAAAGGUAGCGUAAUCACUUGUCUUCUAAAUAAAGACCAGUAUGAACGGCUAAAUGAGGGCACUCCUGUCUCUUAUAACCAAUCAGUGAAACUGCUCUCUCAGUAAAAACCCUGAGAUAAACACACAAGACGAGAAGACCCUGUGGAGCUUAAAACCUAGAACCACUGAACGAAAGCCCCUGGUCCCCGGUUUUUAGUUGGGGCGACUUUGGAAUCAAACUAACACCCAAACACAGAGCCAGCAACUCUCGCCAAGGCCUACAAGCCGAGGCCAACCAAAAGACCCAGUAAAACUGACCAAUGAACCAAGUUACCCCAGGGAUAACAGCGCUAUCUUCUUCAAGAGUCCAUAUCGACAAGAAGGUUUACGACCUCGAUGUUGGAUCAGGACACCCAAAUGGUGCAGCCGCUAUUAACGGUUCGUUUGUUCAACGAUU
Molecule: ribosomal RNA, 492 nt
Filed under: Melanoseps occidentalis
Lineage: Eukaryota; Metazoa; Chordata; Lepidosauria; Squamata; Scincidae
Description: partial 16S ribosomal RNA
Rfam family: Bacterial large subunit ribosomal RNA
Source: RNAcentral